This 1607-nucleotide long non-coding RNA is filed under the name Brassica napus (rape). RNAcentral's name for it is "long non-coding RNA (BNAP_LNC014620)". Lineage: Eukaryota; Viridiplantae; Streptophyta; Magnoliopsida; Brassicales; Brassicaceae. The record is from RNAcentral.
UGUUGUAGAUAUCGUUCUGUUCUGGUCGCCAGUAAGGAGAGUUCGUGAUAUUACCAUAAUGCGCCAUGUUACUACCACCAUGUUUCUGAAAUGGUAGUACUGCUGAUGGUGGCAAGUAAGGAGGUCUCGUGAUAUUACCAUACUGCCCUGAAGGAACUUGCAACUGAGAGUAAUGAGGGUUUAUGGCUUGUGGGUUCCUCUGUGUCUGUGGUAGUAGGUUCAUGGCUUGUUGGUUCCUCUUUGGUACAAAGUCAGUGGAUGUUAUAAAUGCCUGCGCCAAAAAAUGAAUUAAUACCCGUUCGGGUAUUUUGCUACUUCGAUUCGGAUUUUUUGGGUCGGGUUUGGGUGCGGCUUCGGGUAUCAGGUAAAGUGCCCACCCCUGGUAUAAACUAUGGAAAUAUAUACCAAGUUAGUGCAUAUCAUAUAAAUUAAUUGAAGGGUCAACUUUGUUUGUCAGCUCUCAGCGACACCUUGUCACUUUCUAGGUGCGAGUGACAAACGGCACGACGUGUCGUUUUCGCCGUCCCAGAUUACGUGGUUUCGGCGAUUUGAGCAUUUCUUACACCUUUUUCUAUAAUAUCAUUUGACACCUUUCUCAUUUUGAGAAACAAUCAAUCAUAAAGAAUAUUUCUAUUGACAGUUUCAUCAGAUAAAACAAGUGAUUUAAAAAAAAAUGAUUUAUCGUAAUGUAUAUCUUGAAUAUUUGAUGAACCUAGUAUUAACAAAAAAGAAGCAUAGAACGUAGUAUAUCCACAAAACGUUAUCAGAGUAUUUUCGAAGGCACAAACAAAGUAGCUUAAAGCCAUCUAAAGAAAGUCAUUAGUUCUGAUAUGGUUGAUUUUUGACUACUCUAGUUGUCUCUUGGCCUUGACCGUUGUUGGGUUUGGUCAGAUGGAUCACUCCUAUCGUUUUGUUGGUCCAGAGAUGCAUAGAUAUCAUUCCAAAUUUGCUGUUCUUCUGGGCUGUGGCUGGAAUUAGGUCGCCACGCAUUUGAAUCUCCACUCUGAGAACAAAACAACGAGCAAGCGAAAAUAGAAAGCAAGAGUCACGGAUCAUACCAAACCGAAAUUUUCAAAGGCUCAAAUUAAGAUUUGAUGGGUUUCACACCUGAUGCGGCUGAAUUGAUGGCAAGUAGUUGCUCGAGUCACCACCUUCAUACCCAAACCUCGAAUUUGCUGGGUUAUUAUCACUCCACGUGCCAAAGGGGUUAGCAGAACCAUAAACAGAAGGAACCAUAGAGGCAGCUGAGUACUGAGGCAUGUUGUAGCUGCCGUGCUGUUCUGGCCGCCAGUAAGGAGAGUUCGUGAUAUUACCAUAAUGCGCCAUGUUACUACGACCAUGUUGCUGAAAUGCUGCUGCUGACUGAGGAGGCAUGUUGUAGAUAUCGUUCUGUUCUGGUCGCCAGUAAGGAGAGUUCGUGAUAUUACCAUAAUGCGCCAUGUUACUACCACCAUGUUUCUGAAAUGGUAGUACUGCUGAUGGUGGCAAGUAAGGAGGUCUCGUGAUAUUACCAUACUGCCCUGAAGGAACUUGCAACUGAGAGUAAUGAGGGUUUAUGGCUUGUGGGUUCCUCUGUGUCUGUGGUAGUAGGUUCAUGGCUUGUUGGU